RNAcentral lists this small RNA (100 nucleotides) under Salmonella enterica. RNAcentral describes it as "partial RtT sRNA". It matches the Rfam family "RtT RNA", at positions 1 to 98 of the family's 130-position model. From Rfam's summary of the family: This family represents a bacterial cis-regulatory element known as RtT RNA. The record is from RNAcentral. Lineage: Bacteria; Pseudomonadati; Pseudomonadota; Gammaproteobacteria; Enterobacterales; Enterobacteriaceae.
GUUUGCACUUAUCGGGGAAGGGUGAGAACCUUCGAUUAAGGUUCGACUCGAGCGAAAGCGAGAGAACGUUGCCAACGGCAACGGCCCGUAGGGUGAGGAG